CAAAGCUUGAAGCUGUGUUGUGCUGCUGAGUCAGACGGUGAGGGGAGUAGAAUAGCUGUGUGCCCUCUGCACCUGCCAACAUGUAUAACAUUGUGUCCUCUCUAAGUGGCCGUUGUGCAGUUUUAACAGGACAGUUCUGCUCCCGGCCCGGUUCGGUCAGAUUACAUUUGGCAAGUGGUGCAUUAUGUGAGAAAUCAGCCUUCAAAAACCCUCCCACAGACAUCCCAGAUAUGCCCCAAUGCAAUUUCGAACCAGAGGAAUACACGGGUAUGUCCAAAGAGCGGAUGAUGGAGAUCCGCAGACAGAACUGCAACCCCAUGAUCAUGAAGGUUACCUACUAUAAGAAACCAGUGUUCGUCCACCAGGGAUACAUGCAGUGGCUGUGGGAUGUGGACGGGAAUCGAUAUCUGGAUCUGUUUGCUGGUGUGGCCACUGUCAGUGUGGGCCACUGCCACCCAAAAGUAACAGCAGCCGCCGAGCAGCAGCUGAAGAGACUGUGGCAUACUACAAACAUCUACGCCUAUCCUCCUCUUCAUGAGUAUAGUGAGAAACUAGCCUCCUACUUACCGGAUCCUCUCAAGGUUGUAUAUCUGACCAACAGCGGCUCAGAAGCCAAUGACCUGGCCAUGUUGAUGGCUCGACUUUACACAGGCAACUUCGACAUCAUCACUUUGAGAGGAUCAUACCACGGUGGCAGCCCACAGACGAUGGGUCUUACUUCCAACGCAGCAUAUAAAUACCCCAUUGCUAAUGGUUUAGGCUGCACAAAUACAAUGUGUCCAGAUGUGUUCAGAGGUCCGUGGGGGGGAAGGCAUUGCAGGGACUCUCCUGUGCAGACCAUCAGAGAAUGCAGCUGUGCACAAGGUCAUUGCAUGGCAAAUGACCAAUACAUUGGACAGCUCAAAGAGACAUUUGCUACUAGUGUCCCAAGUCAAAUUGCUGCUUUCUUUGGAGAGCCUAUUCAGGGAGUUGGAGGAGCUGUGCAAUACCCUAAAAACUACCUCAAGGAGGCUUACAAACUUGUGAGAGAGAGAGGAGGGGUCUGCAUUGCUGAUGAGGUCCAGACUGGAUUUGGGCGAACAGGAAGCCACUUCUGGGGUUUCCAAGGUCAUGAUGUCAUUCCUGAUAUUGUAACAAUGGCAAAGGGCAUCGGUAAUGGAUUCCCAAUGGGAGCUAUCGUUACAACACCAGAAAUUGCGGCCUCAUUUGCCAAGGGUGUUCACUUCAACACCUUUGGAGGAAAUCCUGUAGCUUGUGCUGUUGCGUCAUCAGUGCUUGAUACCAUCAAAGAAGAUGGCACACAGCAGAUCAGUCUUGAUGUGGGAACCUAUCUGAUGACAGAACUGGCAAAACUCAGAGAGAAGUAUGAGAUAAUCGGUGAUGUCCGUGGGAAAGGCCUGCAGAUCGGUGUGGAAAUGGUCAAAGACAAGGUCAGGAUAGCGGAACCAACAAGACUACAAGAGUGACACGGGGAAGUGCAAAUUCUAUGAAGAUUUUGCGGCAUGGCUGAAACUGGUACCAGGCAAUACGCGGGGCACGGUGUAUUUUGUGCCGGAAGUGUUUUAAACUCCGAGCGGUGAGAAUCAAGGCAGUGGAAUCCCACAUGCAGAAUGAGAAACACAAAACUGCCAAGCAGAGAAGGACGUUAGCACCUGCCACCUGCCAAAUAAAGGGUAAAUGUUGGCUGUGGCAGGUAAGAAAUCCAGGUCAACAUGGCAGAUAGGGUUUCCUUAUAUAAAGAAAUGUUAUUAAAAAAAAAGAAAUUGUUAUAGUCAGGGUUUAGGGUUACAUAAUAUAUUCCAUAUUUCUACUGUCUCAUAAUACUGACUUAGUGUUUAUAAUUCUGAAGCGUUCUCCAUAUAUUUCAAAAUUGGCAAAUUGAAAAAACUUCAUUUUUCUACCAGGUAUUUCCCAGUUCUGUUAUACCCUCGUCUCCACCACACAACCUUUUUCACUGGAGCAAAAAAGUAAAACAUUGUUGUUAUGUUUCUUCAAUUUUGGAUUUUGUACAGUUCAUUACAGUACAGGACUUCAUUUGAUUCUGAGUGACAUUAAAAAAGUCUUGAAUCUAACUUGCCGUGCUGUAGAAACCAUUGGACACAAGCAGUUGCACAGUGUUAAUAUAGUUAGUUUCUUUCAUUUAUUUACUAUGAUUACUGAAACCCAUCCAGCCUCAUCAUCCUUUCACCUCUUCUCUGUCGUCCACAGGCCAGCAGAGACCCGCUGCCUCCUCAGGCAAUGAGUGAGAUCUUUGAGGACGUCAAGGACAUGGGAGUCCUGAUAGGAAAAGGAGGACUUUACGGACAGACUUUCCGCAUCCAACCCCCGAUGUGCAUCACAAUGGAAGAUGCU
Cottoperca gobio is the source of this 2352-nucleotide RNA transcript. It is a transcript of the gene named alanine--glyoxylate aminotransferase 2, with no coding region annotated. The record is from RefSeq and is a predicted model, not a curated record. NCBI's taxonomy places the organism in Eukaryota, Metazoa, Chordata, Actinopteri, Perciformes, Bovichtidae. The transcript has 14 exons.